AGACGAACCGUCCAAACGUUAUUCGGAAUCACUGGGCUUAAAGGGUGCGUAGGCGGCCUGGCAAGUUGGAUGUGAAAUCCCACGGCUCAACCGUGGAAUUGCGUUCAAAACUGCCAGACUAGAGGGAGACAGAGGUGAGCGGAACUGAUGGUGGAGCGGUGAAAUGCGUUGAUAUCAUCAGGAACACCGGUGGCGAAGGCGGCUCACUGGGUCUCUUCUGACGCUGAGACACGAAAGCUAGGGUAGCGAACGGGAUUAGAAACCCCAGUAGUCC
Molecule: ribosomal RNA, 274 nt
Filed under: uncultured bacterium
Lineage: Bacteria
Description: partial 16S ribosomal RNA
Rfam family: Bacterial small subunit ribosomal RNA
Source: RNAcentral